Molecule: long non-coding RNA, 351 nt
Organism: Gossypium raimondii (Peruvian cotton)
Lineage: Eukaryota; Viridiplantae; Streptophyta; Magnoliopsida; Malvales; Malvaceae
Exons: 3
Source: RefSeq, a predicted model, not a curated record
UUGACUAAACUUUGCAACCUAUACAAGUUUUUUUGGGAUUUCGACAAAAUAUAAACAAAAUUCCCGAGAAGAUACUUAAAACAUUUACUCAUCCAUGACAACUGACUGAAAAAAUUUGGGUUGUCGUCUAGCUCAUAAUCAUAUACAAGGUCAAUACCAAAUUCUAGCACAGAUAAAUCUGAAAGAACCCGAAGAGUAAUAUGAUCACCAGCUUCUAAUUCAUCACCCCUAAAGUUCCAACAAGUCGUCCAGUAUAAGGUAUUCUUAGUUUCAGGAAUUCCCAUGAAAUGUUUGGAGUAGGUCCACUUUGUACCUUUGGUCUCGUUCACAAUUUCAAGGAAUGGUAAAAAU